RNAcentral lists this ribosomal RNA (677 nucleotides) under uncultured Agaricales. RNAcentral describes it as "eukaryotic LSU rRNA". The stretch from base 267 to 420 matches the Rfam family "5.8S ribosomal RNA". Lineage: Eukaryota; Fungi; Basidiomycota; Agaricomycetes; Agaricales. The record is from RNAcentral.
CAUUAUCGAAAUAAACUUGAACAGGCUGUUGCUGGUUCCUUUCAGGAGGGGCAUGUGCACGCUUGUCAUCUUUAUCAUUUCUCCAACUGUGCACAUAACUGUAGACCUGGGGGCUUUCUUUUUGGAACUCGUUCCGAGUCGGGACUGCUGUGCUUCAUCCGAGAGGUCGGCUUUGCCCUUUGCAUUUUCCAGGUCUAUGUCAUUUAUUUCACAACCUCUGUGUAAAAUGGUUUAGAAUGAUUGAACAAUAUAAAAAAAGUUAAUACAACUUUCAGCAACGGAUCUCUUGGCUCUCGCAUCGAUGAAGAACGCAGCGAAAUGCGAUAAGUAAUGUGAAUUGCAGAAUUCAGUGAAUCAUCGAAUCUUUGAACGCAUCUUGCGCUCCUUGGUAUUCCGAGGAGCAUGCCUGUUUGAGUGUCAUUCGACUUGUCAACCACAUCAAUUGCGAUGUGGCUUGGAUGUGGGGGUUCUUGCAGGCUCUCUCUUUCAUGAGGUCUGCUCCCCUGAAAUGCAUUAGUGGUAUCUGAGCAGAACUACUACCGUCAGGUGUGAUAAAUUAUCUAUGCCUUUGGGUAUGCUGCAUGAACAGAUUGUGCCGCUCAUAAUGAUUGUUUGACGAAUUUGACCUCAAAUCAGGUAGGACUACCCGCUGAACUUAAGCAUAUCAAUAAGCGGAG